RNAcentral lists this ribosomal RNA (460 nucleotides) under uncultured bacterium. Its description in RNAcentral is "partial 16S ribosomal RNA". It matches the Rfam family "Bacterial small subunit ribosomal RNA", at positions 339 to 795 of the family's 1533-position model. The record is from RNAcentral.
CUACGGGACGCUGCAGUGAGGAAUAUUGGUCAAUGGGCGCGAGCCUGAACCAGCCAUCCCGCGUGCAGGAUGACGGCCCUAUGGGUUGUAAACUGCUUUUCUAUGCCAAGAAACCCUGUUACGAGUAACAGGUUGCCGGUAGCAUAGGAAUAAGCAUCGGCUAACUCCGUGCCAGGCAGCCGCGGUAAUACGGAGGAUGCAAGCGUUAUCCGGAUUCAUUGGGUUUAAAGGGUGCGCAGGUGGGCUUGUAAGUCAGUGGUGAAAUGCUGCCGCUUAACGGUAGAACUGCCAUUGAUACUGCGAGUCUUGAGUAUGGUUGAGGUAGGCGGAAUGUGUUGUGUAGCGGUGAAAUGCAUAGAUAUGACACAGAACGCCAAUUGCGAAGGCAGCUUACUAAGCCAUUACUGACGCUGAGGCACGAAAGCGUGGGGAGCGAACAGGAUUAGAUACCCUUGUAGUC